GAGCUUUCUUUCUCUUUUCUUUUGGAUUGUGAGGAUAGAGGAUGUGGACGGAUUCUUUGGAGCUCGGAUCUGACUGGUAACGCAGUAAUACCAAUUUCUUUGCUUCUCUCUCCUUUUUUUCUAGACCUUGGAGACUCCCAAGCAUCAAGGCAUUGCUGAGAGUUGGAAUUCGAGGAGUAACUAUGAGCAAUGUUCGUGGUUUAGGCACUCAAGGCUCUUAGUUCUCGGAAGACAAGUUCGUGACGAAGAUCAAAAUGGACUUCGCUGCUUUACAAACUUUUGUUUCAUCUCUAAAUGGAAACCCAGGUGGAGCUUGUGAUUGAUCGGGGACGUCAAGAUAUUUGGUAAGCAAGACGAGGAUCUCUAGACUUGGAAUCCAACAAGAACCACGUGUGCUAGCAGUGAUCCCAGAUUUUGGUUCAAAUAAGUAUAUUUAGUUUAAUAAAGCUGAAUUCAAAUUUUUUAAAAUAAA
Molecule: long non-coding RNA, 472 nt
Organism: Selaginella moellendorffii
Lineage: Eukaryota; Viridiplantae; Streptophyta; Lycopodiopsida; Selaginellales; Selaginellaceae
Exons: 3
Source: RefSeq, a predicted model, not a curated record